Molecule: transfer RNA, 75 nt
Filed under: Lachnospiraceae bacterium
Lineage: Bacteria; Bacillati; Bacillota; Clostridia; Lachnospirales; Lachnospiraceae
Description: tRNA-Asp
Rfam family: tRNA
About the family: Transfer RNA (tRNA) molecules are approximately 80 nucleotides in length. Their secondary structure includes four short double-helical elements and three loops (D, anti-codon, and T loops).
Source: RNAcentral
CGGGACGUAGCUCAAAUGGAAGAGCGGUCGGCACAUUGUCGGUGGACUUUGCUGGUUCGAGUCCAGCCGUCCCAG